UGGGGGAUAUUGCACAAUGGGCGAAAGCCUGAUGCAGCGACGCCGCGUGGGGGAUGAAGGCUUUCGGGUUGUAAACCUCUUUCGCUAUCGAACAAGGCCCGCUUAGGGUGGGUUGAGGGUAGGUGGAGAAGAAGCGCCGGCUAACUACGUGCCAGCAGCCGCGGUAAUACGUAGGGCGCGAGCGUUGUCCGGAAUUAUUGGGCGUAAAGGGCUUGUAGGCGGCUUGUUGCGCCUGCUGUGAAAACGCGGGGCUUAACUUCGCGCGUGCAGUGGGUACGGGCAGGCUUGAGUGUGGUAGGGGUGACUGGAAUUCCAGGUGUAGCGGUGGAAUGCGCAGAUAUCUGGGGGGACACCGAUGGCGAAGGCAGGUCACUGGGCCAUUACUGACGCUGAGGAGCGAAAGCAUGGGUAGCGAACAGG
RNAcentral lists this ribosomal RNA (420 nucleotides) under Fusobacteriota bacterium. Its description in RNAcentral is "Fusobacteria bacterium partial 16S ribosomal RNA". It matches the Rfam family "Bacterial small subunit ribosomal RNA", at positions 355 to 776 of the family's 1533-position model. Lineage: Bacteria; Fusobacteriati; Fusobacteriota. The record is from RNAcentral.